This is an RNA transcript of Neodiprion fabricii, 3209 nucleotides long. It is a transcript of the gene named neurofilament heavy polypeptide-like, with no coding region annotated. The record is from RefSeq and is a predicted model, not a curated record. Lineage: Eukaryota; Metazoa; Arthropoda; Insecta; Hymenoptera; Diprionidae. The transcript has 4 exons.
UCACGUGCAGGUGGUAGGUAGCCACUAUUCGCUGCCUAACGAAAAAUCGCGCAUCUGUAUUUAAAAAUAAUCGGGGACUUUUCCUUUUAUUCCUUAAGGAAGAAAACGAGAAGAAGAACGAAGAACGAAGAAAAUAACGCGAAAGGAACUCUAACGUGACGAGACAAUUGAAGACCAGUGGCAGAAAUAAAGAGCACGUUAUAUAUAACCGAGUAAAUACGCCAGGAUGAUGAAGGCGGCACAGAUUCUACUGCUCGCCGUGGCUAUGGUCGCGGUUACCGACUCCUUGCCUCUGGCCGCACCCUCGCCUGAGGAUGUUCACCCGGUUAUACCGCUUGAGAGCGUCAAGGAGUCGUUGCGGUCGGGUCAAGUAGAGACGAAGAGUCCAAUUACGGAGGUAAAAUCGGAGGAUGCUUCCUCGGUUGCGGUCGUCGAUAUUGUGGAGCAGAAACUGAAGGAGGCCAAGUCCACUGAACCCGAAGCUGCCAAGCCGAUCGAGGAAACCCCGAGCAUUGUUCUUCCCACGGAAGGAGAGGCGGCGGCCAAACCGGUAGAGACGAAGGAAACGGUCGUCGAAACGCCAAAGGAGGAGGUGAAGAAAAUCGACACUCCCGAAGUUGAGUCGGAAGAGUCGAAGCCGGUAGUAGCCCGAUCGGAGGAGUCGUCGCCGAAAACCGAGGAGAUUAAUACGGCGGAAGUUCCGAUUCCAAUCUCAGCCGAGAAGAGCCUUGUAACGGAGACAAAGGAAGCUGAAGCUGCAGUUUUAUCGACGGAGGAAAAAAUCGCGUCUGCAUUACCGGCGGCUAAGGAACUGCCCCACGAAGCUUCAUUGAUCGUCGACUCGAUCGUCAAGGAUCAGAGCGAGAACCUGCAGAAACAGGAAGAAAAGAUCGUAGACAUCGCCGAGCGUGUAACUCGCGGAGGAAAAAUUACCCCGGAUAGCGAGAGCCCGGAGAAAAGUGAAGUAGGACAGGAACAGGCUGCGAUCGUGACGCCGGUUGAGAAAACUUCGAUACCGAAACUCGUGAGCGAAGCCGUUGACAGCGUUUCCAGGUCAGUGGAGGAAUCCAAGAAGGAACUGUCUGCCUCGAUCGAUAACGCGCAAUCAGCGGCGGCAAGUGAGAAGAUAGUAGAAGCAACAAAGGUAGCCGAACAAGAAUCCAGGAAGGUGGAAGACGCGGUGUCUGAAAUCAAAGAGGAGCCAGCAGUGAAGGAGGAGAUUAAGGGUGAGAAGGAGGGCAGUUUGACUCUUGAAGAAGGAUCAGCAGCUACUGAGAAUGAGGAAAAGAAAGAAGAGACGGAAUUAAAGGAGGAAAAACCGGCUGCGGCAGAAGAGAAGCCAAAAGAACUUCAAACUCCGGCUGCUGAUGAUCUCCCAAACGCUGAACAACUGACCGACAAUAAUCAGCCGAAAAAACCUGAACCGGAAGCGGAAAAAUCUGAGGAAACAUCGCAAGAAUCGAGCGAGGAAUCUUCUUCAAGCGAGGAAAGCGGAGAGGAGAAAAAAGUAAGCAAGCAUGACGAGGAUUCAAGUCAAGAGGAAAGUAUUGAGAAAAGCGAGACCGGAAAAAUAUCUACUUCAGAAAAAUAAUUUUUAGAAGAUUGAAUAAAACGAACUCGCAUACGCAUACACAACAAACCGACAAUCAUAUUAUACGGGAAGAAAAAAAACAAUCGAUCAUUCGCGAGUGAUAUAUAUAUAUAUAUAUACAUAUACUUAUAUACUACACACACACACAUAUAUAUAUAUGGUUACAUAUUCUAUCGGAGAACAAACGACAUAAUAAAUGCGAGUAAAAAUUUUUUUUAAUAAAAAUAAAUUUAAAAAAAACAAAAAAAAAAAAAACACAAGAGUAGGGCGAGAGAAAGAAAAAGGUGAGAAAGUGUGCGUGUGUGAGAUAGAAGAACGCGAGAGGUAGAAAGAGUGAAUAGAUUAGAAUAUGGCGGAUUUAUACGAUCAUCUUUUGUAACCCAGUGAGGGAAAGAUACAGAGUGAAAGGGAGAAAGGGCAAACAAAAAAAAAAAAAAAUAAAGAUUGAGAGGGUGAGGAACGCCACGCUCCGAAAUGUAAAAAAUCGUGUCCUUUGAUAUCGCUACCACUUCGCUUUUUAAUCCAAAAAUGAAAUCAGAUCGAUAUUUCAAUGUAUGUAAAACUAUUUCACUGGAUCAAUAACAAUAUUAUAUGCACGAUGGAACCGCAUACCCUUCAGCAGCAUCGUCAAUAUACAAUACAGUUACGUGUUAUGGGUGUAGAUCAAUGUCGGAACAGAAAAAAGUAAAAAAAAAAAAUAAAAAGAAAGAAGAAAAGACGAAUAAAAAAAAAAAAGAGACCUGCCCUGGUUGUCCGUUACUUACAACUUCGGCGUCUACGCAUCCCCGUUAAAACAAUAAGCCCCACGUAUAAAACGGAAGCGUAGUUCGUCAUUAUAUAACAUCAUCUAAACUCUACUAUUGUACUAUCAUUGUUACUACGCAUAUAACGCACAUCAUCAUUUCAGUCCAUAUCGUUUUAUAUUAUACGUAUUACAAUAUAGAUAGAUAUUUUAGGUGUCUCGGUGAUGCGUGCAGGGCUCGAAUUGAAACGUAGUAGACCCUCUUGAUUAUCAUAAACCGCCUUUCUCUAUUAUUAUAAUUAUUAUCAUUAUUAUUAUUAUUAUUAUUAUUAUUUUUAUUAUAAACAUUUGUAUUAUGUCGUUAUGUUUAUUAAUCGUCGUUGUGGUAAAUGCGUUUAGCGCCUAUUAUUAUUAUUAUUAUUAUUAUGAUUAUAUUAUUAUUAAUGUUAUUAUUAUUAUUAUUAUAAAUAAAAGCGUUGAGCUAUCUUCGACUCUACAUAUAUAUAAUGUGUGUGUGUGCAUUUAUAUAUAUAUAUAUAUAUAUAGAUAUACAUGUAUGGAUAUAACACAUAUAUUACACACCACGCACAGGAUAUAUAUAUAUGUAUAUAUAUAUAUACACACUUAUAAUAAUAAUAAUAGGGUGUGAACGCACGCACAUUUCCGUCUCUGUGUAUGUCUUUUUGUCUGUUUGCUGCAUGGUUCGAUUUACUAACCUUAGCUAUGAUUUAUGUCAGCUAAAAACCAGCAGCAAUUCUCUCAUGGAAGACUUGGCUGAGGGCCGUUAUUGGCGACCCCCAGCCAUACUCUAUCCCAACCCCUGAACCUCAUCCCCUAUAUACUCGCUUAAAAUAAACUCGAAUUUAAAAAGCGCAA